RNAcentral lists this long non-coding RNA (1664 nucleotides) under Nicotiana benthamiana. RNAcentral describes it as "long non-coding RNA (NBEN_LNC005364)". The record is from RNAcentral. Lineage: Eukaryota; Viridiplantae; Streptophyta; Magnoliopsida; Solanales; Solanaceae.
GCCACUUUCUUUUGACAUCCCACUUUCUCUCCUUCCUAUCAUCACUAAUACUUUUCUAAACUCUAUAAUUAGUUCUAAAGACUAAUUUUUUUGGCAUCCCUCAUCAACAUGGGCUUUCUCAAUCUUUAUUGUCUACACCUUAAUAACGUUCUUUCCACACACACAACAACCCGAUUCUCGCCUUCUUGGGUGAGAAAUAUUCUACCAAUAAAAUUAAAAACUUCUUAUGGCUCAUGCUACAAGCCAAACUACCAACCCUCUUAUUUCUCUCUAAUCACAAUAUUUUAAGUGAUCCUACAUGUCCAUUGUGCAGACACGCACCUGAAGAUAUUGACCAUAUAUUUUUUCAUUGUACCACUGCCUCUCAUAUAUGGCAACAUUUUAAUAUUCCCCUCCCACCACACUUCAGUCCAAAUUGGAUCAAGUGUUAUGUCUUCCACGCACUUCUCCUCCCAAUACUAUCCCGUUACAUAUCAUAGUUUCAAUCAUUUUCUGUUACAUUUGGAUCAACCGUAAUCAUAAUAUCUUAAACUUCACACCAUGCUCCAAUUAAUUUUCAUACCAUAUAUAACCAGAUAUCUCAAUUUUAUUACCUAGCUAACACAUACAAUCACCAACACAUACUAAAUAAGCGCAUUCCAAUCAAAUGGCACCCUUACCCCAAGGUUUCUAUAAGUUAAAUAUCUACAGAGCCUUUGAUAAUCGUUUCCACAAUGGUCGGGCAGUUGGAGUUUUUGCGAUCCUUCAAGAACUUGGGUGUAUGGCUUUACCAAACAUUUGAUAUAUACUGAUAUUCUACAAGCUGAACUUCUAGCUUCAUAUCAUGGUCUACUACUAGCGAAUGCUUGCCAUUUCAAACAAUUACAAGUGGAAUGAAUUCUCAGGUACUGCUACACAUCUUAUCAAAUGCACCACUAGAACAAUUACAUAUCAUUUUUGCAUACAGGUCGAUGCUCAAGAAACUCCAGGUAACCAUAAUCCAACACACAUUCAGGGAUGAUAAUGGUGUAGCGGAUGUAUUUAGCCAAGUAUGGAAAGACAAGAACAAAUCUACAACCUAAUGAUGUUCUACUUUUUGAAAAUUCACCUACUUUUACUUUAUUGCUUUUAGCUUCAGAUGUAAUUGGAACUAUAACAUACUAUUCAGUUCCAACUCAUGUAAUGCACCAAUUAUGUUUUAAUAAAAAUCUUAUUAGCAAAAAAAAAAAGGAGUUUUAUAAUCUCGCAUAUUAUGAUGAAAGGUUUCGUAUUAAAAUAAAAUAUGAAUUAUUUUUUAAUAACUUUACAAACGAUAAUUAUUUUUCAAUUAUCAGUCCGAAACUAACUAGUCGGUGCUAUUUUCAUCUAUUUUUCUGUACUAUCUGUGCAUAUCACCAAUUAUUUAACAUUUCUAAGAGGCAAAGAGUGGGUUAGAAAAAGUUCGAGUUGGGAGAUCUCGAGAGAACAGAGCGGCGAAAAAGAUUUGGUCAUGAAACACCAAAAUUUAAGUAGUGCAAAGUCAAAUUAAAAGUUUCUGAAGCAUAAUUAUGUAAUGCAAACUCUUGUCAUUUCCUGUGGUUCAGCUUAGAAUAUGCUAUAAUCUAACAUGAAAUUCAACUCCAAGCUUUUGCCUGCCAGUAAUUUUCUAUGAUUUGUUUUACGUAUAGGGUUGGAAGAUAGAGAGG